UACGGAGGAUGCAAGCGUUAUCCGGAUUUAUUGGGUUUAAAGGGUGCGCAGGUUGUUUGAUAAGUCAGUGGUGAAAGUCUGUCGCUUAACGGUAGGAUUGCCAUUGAUACUGUUGGACUUGAAUAUUGAUGAGGUAGGCGGAAUGUGUAGUGUAGCGGUGAAAUGCAUAGAUAUUACACAGAACACCGAUUGCGAAGGCAGCUUACUAAUCCAUCAUUGACGCUGAGGCACGAAAGCGUUGGGAGCAAACA
RNAcentral lists this ribosomal RNA (251 nucleotides) under uncultured prokaryote. Its description in RNAcentral is "partial 16S ribosomal RNA". It matches the Rfam family "Bacterial small subunit ribosomal RNA", at positions 524 to 774 of the family's 1533-position model. The record is from RNAcentral.